AUGUUCAUGGAAAGGAAAGAUGAUUGGCAUAUCCCCUGGCAAGGGGUUGGAACAACCUUGGGCUUUAUUGUUAAAACAAAAGGUUCAAGCUUCCUGCUUUGUUUGGAACUUACGCAAUUUCUUGU
Molecule: small nuclear RNA, 125 nt
Organism: Musa acuminata AAA Group (dessert banana)
Lineage: Eukaryota; Viridiplantae; Streptophyta; Magnoliopsida; Zingiberales; Musaceae
Source: RefSeq, a predicted model, not a curated record